AUCAUGUUUGAAGGUUAAACAACAGAAAAAAGAGAAUUUUUGCGCUGCGUGUCAAUUUUAGUCCUCUUUUGAAUUGUUUCAAUUUUAUACAUCUUGUAAAUAACUAAGAAAACUAUGCUUGGACACUGCGUUGAGCAAGUUGUUCUCCAAAGAGCAGCAGCUUCAUUCACUUUCAGAUUAUGGAUGAUGUUGAAGGUGGGUGCUUUUUGGUAGAAAAAG
RNAcentral lists this unclassified non-coding RNA (219 nucleotides) under Hevea brasiliensis (rubber tree). Lineage: Eukaryota; Viridiplantae; Streptophyta; Magnoliopsida; Malpighiales; Euphorbiaceae. The record is from RNAcentral.